UCGCAAUGCCCGAAAGGGUGACGAAGCGACGCCGCGUGUGGGAAGAAGGCCUUCGGGUUGUAAACCACUGUCGGGAGUUAAGAAAUGUAAGGAUGUUAAUAGCGUCCUUACUUGACUAAGGCUCCGGAGGAAGCCACGGCUAACUCUGUGCCAGCAGCCGCGGUAAUACAGAGGUGGCAAGCGUUGUUCGGAAUUAUUGGGCGUAAAGAGCACGUAGGCGGCCUUGAAAGUCAGUUGUGAAAGCCUUCCGCUUAACGGAAGAACAGCAUCUGAUACUACAGGGCUUGAGUGCGGGAGGGGAGAGUGGAACUUCUGGUGGAGCGGUGAAAUGCGUUAGAUAUCAGAAGGAACGCCGGCGGCGAAAGCGGCUCUCUGGCCCGUAACUGACGCUGAGUGUGCGAAAGCUAGGGGAUCAAACGGGAUUAGAUACCCCGGUAGUCCUAGCCGUAAACGAUGGGCACUAA
Molecule: ribosomal RNA, 464 nt
Filed under: uncultured anaerobic ammonium-oxidizing bacterium
Lineage: Bacteria
Description: bacterial SSU rRNA
Rfam family: Bacterial small subunit ribosomal RNA
Source: RNAcentral